RNAcentral lists this unclassified non-coding RNA (1082 nucleotides) under Hevea brasiliensis (rubber tree). The record is from RNAcentral. Lineage: Eukaryota; Viridiplantae; Streptophyta; Magnoliopsida; Malpighiales; Euphorbiaceae.
ACCAACACCAUCAGCAAGCAACUCCGUUGAAGGGAUCUGAGAUCCAAUGUGGAAAUGCAGCAGCUGAAGACAAUCUAACAUUCCGGAUUCUUUCAGUUUCCUCACCACACGAAGGAUCUGAGUUGUUGUAAGCCCAAACUUGCCUUUCUCUCCAGAAGUGGAUCCAAAAUGACCGGAAUGUUUGGUCCUAAGCUUAGCCCGGAGCCCAAUUACAGGCUGGACCGCCAUUUUACGGCUGAUGUCAAUCACCAAAUCAAGCUCCUCCUCUUGUUCGAGCACAAUCACCGUGUUCAAUUGGAGCUUUCUUGCAACCAAAGCAAGUGAAAUGUAUUCUGCAUCCUUGAAUCCGUUGCAUACAAGAAGACCCUCCGAGCUGCCCUUGCAUAGAGAGCUCAUGGCCAGGAGGAGCUCAGGUUUUGACCCAGCUUCAAGACCAAACCGGAAACCCGUCCCGAAUUUGACAAUAUCUUCAACAACGAACCUGUCCUGAUUGCAUUUUACAGGAUAAACACCUUGGUAAUGAGCCUCAUAUCCUUCAGAUUGAACAGCAUAAUCAAAAGCCGAUUGAAGAGACUCCAAUCGGUUCUUCAAAACAUCAGGAAACCGAACAACGAGUGGAAGCUGUAACCCGAGCCCACCAGAAUUAAUCGGGUCGGAAGCCUUUUUCACGACCUUCAGGAGAUCAAUUUCUUGGUGAGGAAGGGUAUCUGUACCAUGGGGCCUGACAGAUAUAUCACCGGAAGAAUUAACGGUGAAAUACGGAGCACCCCAACCAUCAAUACGAUACAGAUCAGAUGACAGCUCCGGUGACCAAUGGGUGGUAAGAGGGACAGCGUUUGUCGACGGAGGUACGCCGGAGGAAAAAAUCUCCGGCGUGGAAAGGAAGGAAUAGCCAAGAGGAGGGGAAACAGCAGAUUCUACACAACAACCUAAAGCAGGCAUCUCGUAAAAUCUUCACAAAAAAAAAAGAAUCAAAGAAUGUGUAAAACUAAUUAUACAGAAAUGAUUUGUUGACCAAUGUUGUAAUAGCUGGGGGCUUUAGAACCCGCCGAGGCCAGAGCCCCGGCUACCCCCUCAAAAGA